AGAGUUUGAUCCUGGCUCAGGAUGAACGCUGGCGGCGUGCUUAACACAUGCAAGUCACGGGGGCCAGCAAUGGCAACCGGCGAACGGGUGCGUAACACGUGAGCAACCUACCGAAAUGAGGGGGAUAGCCGUCCCAACGGACGGGUAAUACCGCAUACGCUCUUGUCCAGGCAUUUGGACUUGAGGAAACCUCCGGGGCAUUUCGAGGGGCUCGCGGCCUAUCAGCUAGUUGGUGAGGUAACGGCUCACCAAGGCGACGACGGGUAGCUGGUCUGAGAGGAUGGCCAGCCACAUUGGACUGAGAUACGGCCCAGACUCCUACGGGAGGCAUAUCUGGGAAUCUUGCGCAAUGGCCUAACGGCUGACGCAGCGACGCCGCGUGAGGGAUGACGCUCUUCGGAGUGUAAACCUCUUUUGCCUGAGACGAAUUGUCAGCUUUAGCUGAUUUGACUGUAUCGGGUGAAUAAGCACCGGCUAACUCCGUGCCAGCAGCCGCGGUAAUACGGGGGGUGCGAGUGUUGUCCGGAAUCACUGGGCGUAAAGGGCGCGUAGGUGGCCUGAUAAGGGUGUGGUGAAAGUCCGGGGCUCAACCCCGGAUCGGCCGUGCCGACUGUUAGGCUAGAGUACUGUAGGGGCAGGCGGAAUUCCGGGUGUAGCGGUGGAAUGCGUAGAGAUCCGGAGGAAGACCGGUGGCGAAGGCGGCCUGCUGGGCAGUUACUGACACUGAGGCGCGACAGCGUGGGGAGCAAACAGGAUUAGAUACCCUGGUAGUCCACGCCGUAAACGAUGGGUACUAGGUGCCUGGGGGAGCGACCCCUUGGGUGCCGGCGCUAACGCAGGAAGUACCCCGCCUGGGGAGUACGGCCGCAAGGCUGAAACUUAAAGGAAUUGACGG
Molecule: ribosomal RNA, 895 nt
Filed under: uncultured bacterium
Lineage: Bacteria
Description: bacterial SSU rRNA
Rfam family: Bacterial small subunit ribosomal RNA
Source: RNAcentral